CUAACUUUGAAACAGAUUUAUUCAUGCCUAUUAUUCGUGAAGUUGAACAAAUCGCUGGCGUGAAAUAUGGCCAUUCUCAAGAAA
RNAcentral lists this small nucleolar RNA (84 nucleotides) under Listeria monocytogenes serotype 4b str. LL195. RNAcentral's name for it is "D. discoideum snoRNA DdR6". Lineage: Bacteria; Bacillati; Bacillota; Bacilli; Caryophanales; Listeriaceae. The record is from RNAcentral.